Molecule: ribosomal RNA, 424 nt
Filed under: Pichia kudriavzevii
Lineage: Eukaryota; Fungi; Ascomycota; Pichiomycetes; Pichiales; Pichiaceae
Description: eukaryotic LSU rRNA
Rfam family: 5.8S ribosomal RNA (bases 51-203)
Source: RNAcentral
GUGGAAUAUAGCAUAUAGUCGACAAGAGAAAUCUACGAAAAAACAAACAAAACUUUCAACAACGGAUCUCUUGGUUCUCGCAUCGAUGAAGAGCGCAGCGAAAUGCGAUACCUAGUGUGAAUUGCAGCCAUCGUGAAUCAUCGAGUUCUUGAACGCACAUUGCGCCCCUCGGCAUUCCGGGGGGCAUGCCUGUUUGAGCGUCGUUUCCAUCUUGCGCGUGCGCAGAGUUGGGGGAGCGGAGCGGACGACGUGUAAAGAGCGUCGGAGCUGCGACUCGCCUGAAAGGGAGCGAAGCUGGCCGAGCGAACUAGACUUUUUUUCAGGGACGCUUGGCGGCCGAGAGCGAGUGUUGCGAGACAACAAAAAGCUCGACCUCAAAUCAGGUAGGAAUACCCGCUGAACUUAAGCAUAUCAAUAAGCGGAG